RNAcentral lists this long non-coding RNA (987 nucleotides) under Homo sapiens (human). RNAcentral describes it as "HSALNT0254129". The record is from RNAcentral. Lineage: Eukaryota; Metazoa; Chordata; Mammalia; Primates; Hominidae.
AGGGGUGGGGUGGGGAUUCUGGCCUGGUCUGGGGACCCCGAAGGAGACUGAGGGGCCUUCAUUAGGAGAUCAGAAGUGGGCGGGUGCUUCUGGCGGGGGACGGGCACAGGCGAUGGCCUGGCCGUAGGAGAACUGCCGGGGUCCCCGUGUGGAGGGAGUGAGGGGGUUGGGGGCCACACCUCCACAUAGGUGGCGUUGUUGCAGGCCUCGGCAAAGAUGCCUGGUGAUGCAGGGGGUGCCAAGUCCCCAUCCUCCAGGCCAGGCAGGCCCCCGUCUGUCUCCAGCAGGGUCAGGAGGUACUGGGCUAGGUGGAAACAGAUGCUCUCUGGGCCGGGGUGGCAUUUGGGGACCCCCAGGCACCAUGGGGACCCAAGAACUAGCCUUCCUCCUUUUUUAUCAUCUCAACCUCCGCACCUCCAUGCUCCAACUGUCUUCCCCAGAAGGUACAGAGACCACCUAGACCCCAGGUUCUGGAUUGUCGAACUCCUAUAUAUCCUUUAAAGCCCCAGCUCCAAUGCCCGGGGCGCCCUCCCACCCAGCCCUGAUCCAAGAGUCCAGGGGGCGCCUGUGUCUGGCUCUAUUUAUAUGGUCCCCCGGCCUACAGCUGACACCUCUUUGGGUCCCCAGCCCCACCCAGGCACAGCUCAUGGGAGGGGUAACAGAUAACACCAAUAUGCAUGCCAUUCUACAAGGCCCAGGAGCCCCCAGGAGGCGCCUCCCGACCCCUGCUCACUGUUCUCCAGGCGCUGGAGGCUCUUCCGCCCCUUGGCCUUGGGCACGAGGUCUGAGUUCCGCACUGCCUGGUUGAUGAAGUGCUGUUUCCGCCUGGAAGCCGAGAGUCUCUUCACCUGGGAGCUGGCUAGGGCAGGCAGGCAGCUGGGAAGGGGCCUUAGAGUUCGCGCCUUGGCUGGGCUCCUAGUCCGGGCUGAGCGUCUACUCGCUGGUUAAGGUCGGUCCUUCCAGGUCCACAGCGGCCUCCACGCGGCC